CGAAGGUGGCAAGCGUUACUCGGAAUUACUAGGCGUAAAGCGCAGGUAGGCGGUUCGAUAAGUCUUUUGUGAAAGCUCCCGGCUUAACUGGGAGAGGUCAAGGGAUACUGUCGGACUAGAGUGUGGUAGAGGAAACUGGAAUUCCCGGUGUAGCGGUGAAAUGCGUAGAUAUCGGGAGGAAUACCUAAGGCGAAAGCAGGUUUCUGGGCCAUCACUGACGCUGAGCUGCGAAAGCUAGGGGAGCAAACAGGAUUAGAUACCCUGGUAGUCCUAGCCCUAAACGAUGUUCAUUAGAUGUGGGGGGUAUCGACCCCUUCCGCGUCGACGCUAACGCAUUAAAUGAACCGCCUGGGGAGUACGGCCGCAAGGUUG
Molecule: ribosomal RNA, 372 nt
Filed under: uncultured organism
Description: bacterial SSU rRNA
Rfam family: Bacterial small subunit ribosomal RNA
Source: RNAcentral